This 812-nucleotide long non-coding RNA is filed under the name Equus asinus (donkey). Its description in RNAcentral is "lncRNA (ENSEASG00005035489.1)". The record is from RNAcentral. Lineage: Eukaryota; Metazoa; Chordata; Mammalia; Perissodactyla; Equidae.
CUUCCCCCAGCCUCAAGGAUAGGCACAUGACUCAUGUCUGGCCAAUUUAUAGUACCCAAUUCCUUGGAUAAUAAUGAUUGUUCUAGAGAGGAUGCUCGUGGGAUCUAAGCAGGGACAAUCAGAAUCCAACGGGAAGAACAAUAUACAGACUGAAGGAAGUAGACUCUCUCUUUCUAUUAGGAUGGCUAAACUGGGAGAAUGUGAAUCUGGAGCUGCCCAGUGGAGAGCUCUUGUUUGUGCAGGAAGCUAAGCAGAGUCAAGCAAAAGUGAGAAGCGCAAGGAGAGAUGGUUCUUGAGAUGGAGUCUGGCUAAUAUGGGGGCUUAGGUGGAAAGAAACUGAUGGGCCCACCUGUCACAGACAAGAGAGGACUUAGAACCCAUUCCUGCAGAGAUUAAUGCUACACUUCCCUCAAAGGGGGUCUUUAGAGAGCCUGGCCUGGGACAUCCACAAAAUGUUCCGCAUAGGGAUGCACAUCAAGGUCACCUCUCCCAAAGUGCCCUUUCCCAAAGUUACUCAGGCCUUCUUGGGUCAGAUCCCAGCUCCAGGGUUUAAUGGUUGUAUGAAGGAAAUCCCUGGAAUGAAUGGAGUCUUAGAAGGCAAUUUUGAGCCAAGGAGAUGAGCAACACCUUGUGCCCUCACUGCCCCUUCCUGCCCACCACACAUCGCAAGAAUGGGGUCCUUCAGCCCGGCGUGCUCUUCUGACUCCGCCCUCUAUACGCUUUUGCUUGCAGCAGUAGAGCCACAAUUGUUGAGUAACAAAAAACCUAGCAAUCAAAUGUUUUGAUUCUUUAUCUCCUGAUUGAUAGCAGAG